AUGGAGCAACACACAGGCUACAUCCAGGACAUGAAGCAAGCGGGCAGAUCAGACCAUUUCCCCCCAGAGAUCAUUGUAAUUUACACCAUGAUGUCACAAUUUGAACCACGCAUUGUGUGUGCAGUUCACUGCAGUUGCCUUGAUGGCUACAACUCGCAGGUAGCGAGCGCCGACGCCUCACUUGCCGGGAACAAAGUUUGUGGCAAACGCCCAUGCGUUGUUGUUGACAGGGUCAGAGAGGUGGUCGGCGAGGUUCUCGAGUGGGCCCUUGCCGGUGACGAUGGCCUGCACGAAGAAGCCAAACAUAGAGAACAUGGCAAGGCGUCCGUUCUUGACUUCCUUCACCUUGAGCUCCGCGAAUGCCUCUGGAUCGUCAGCCAGGCCUAG
Molecule: ribosomal RNA, 387 nt
Filed under: Triticum aestivum (bread wheat)
Lineage: Eukaryota; Viridiplantae; Streptophyta; Magnoliopsida; Poales; Poaceae
Description: partial small subunit ribosomal RNA
Source: RNAcentral